This is a long non-coding RNA of Chinchilla lanigera (long-tailed chinchilla), 336 nucleotides long. RefSeq lists it as uncharacterized. The record is from RefSeq and is a predicted model, not a curated record. Lineage: Eukaryota; Metazoa; Chordata; Mammalia; Rodentia; Chinchillidae. The transcript has 3 exons.
UGGGAGCCUCCAGGCUGCAGAGUCAGAAGUCAGCCCAGCUGAGAGUCCUGGCCCUGGCCAAGGAAGAUGGCAUUUUUUAGUGAAGGCCUGCCCCUGCCCAGGAACAUCUAGCUCAGCUUCCUAGGCAGCUGAAAGUACACAGACAGCAAUGCCAGAGUCUGGCUCAACUGGCAGCAUUGAGGAGCCAACCUGUGGAGGACACUUCAACCCCCAGGAAUAGUGGUGACCAUGUGCCCAUGGUGAAGCUGCAGAACACGCUACCAUCUGCCCAAAUAGAAGGGACACUGUGAGGUGGAGGAAGAGAAGAGGAGGGAGGAGUAGAAAGAGGAAAAGGAG